This 471-nucleotide ribosomal RNA is filed under the name uncultured bacterium. RNAcentral describes it as "bacterial SSU rRNA". It matches the Rfam family "Bacterial small subunit ribosomal RNA", at positions 330 to 793 of the family's 1533-position model. The record is from RNAcentral.
CUGUGACUCCUACGGGAGGCAGCAGUGGGGAAUAUUGCACAAUGGGAGAAACCCUGAUGCAGCCAUGCCGCGUGUGUGAAGAAGGCCUUCGGGUUGUAAAGCACUUUCAGUAGGGAGGAAGGUAGUGUAGUUAACACCUGCAUUAUUUGACGUUACCUACAGAAGAAGCACCGGCUAACUCCGUGCCAGCAGCCGCGGUAAUACGGAGGGUGCGAGCGUUAAUCGGAAUUACUGGGCGUAAAGCGCAUGCAGGCGGCCUGUUAAGUCAGAUGUGAAAGCCCCGGGGCUUAACCUCGGAAUUGCAUUUGAAACUGGCAGGCUAGAGUCUUGUAGAGGGGGUAGAAUUUCAGGUGUAGCGGUGAAAUGCGUAGAGAUCUGAAGGAAUACCAGUGGCGAAGGCGGCCCCCUGGACAAAGACUGACGCUCAGAUGCGAAAGCGUGGGGAGCAAACAGGAUUAGAUACCCUGGUAG